RNAcentral lists this long non-coding RNA (651 nucleotides) under Androctonus crassicauda. Lineage: Eukaryota; Metazoa; Arthropoda; Arachnida; Scorpiones; Buthidae. The record is from RNAcentral.
CUUUCAGCCAUCCGGUUACCCCAUCAUGGGUGUUGGCCAUUCUGUGACGGGUUUUAUGAGUGGCCGCCGCCAGAUACAGAAUAUCCCUCGUGCGAUAUGGCUGCGUAACUAAAUUAAGCUAACCCGAAUAAUAUUUUGUGGGCUGCCAAAAAUUUUAAGUUCCGCCAACGAGCAGAACACACAGAUCCGGACUGUCCAGUAGUAUUAGGUGUCGGAUGAUUACUAUUAAAAUAUGUCUGGCUUGGUCGGCCGCUACCAGAAAAGUGAGUUCUCUUUUCUCUUCAUUAGGAACUAAUUUUGACCGAUUUUUCUGUAUCGUUCUGCGCCGAAUGUUGAAAACUUCCGCUUCGAGAAAUAGUUCUCAAACAUCCGCCACAAGAUCAUUACCUUCCCACGUAGAUCUAAUGCGGGUUGGAGAGAGAGAAUGGAAACAGCUAAUCAUUAAAAUCAUAAACUCAUCAUAAGCUAAAUCAUUACUCUGAAUUUAUUUCUACAAUUUAUAAUUAUUAUUUUUAUACUCUACUGUUAUUUAUUAAUUUUUAAACUAACCUUGCCAUUUAUUAUUAGUAGUAUUAUACUCAAUAGACCUUAUUAUUAGUAAUUUAAUUUGAGUUUAUAGAAUUUUUUAAAAGAAAUUAAGAGAAAAGCCUU